This 468-nucleotide ribosomal RNA is filed under the name uncultured bacterium. RNAcentral describes it as "partial 16S ribosomal RNA". It matches the Rfam family "Bacterial small subunit ribosomal RNA", at positions 28 to 507 of the family's 1533-position model. The record is from RNAcentral.
GACGAACGCUGGCGGCGUGCUUAACACAUGCAAGUCGAACGGAAAGGCCCUGCUUUUGUGGGGUGCUCGAGUGGCGAACGGGUGAGUAACACGUGAGUAACCUGCCCUUGACUUUGGGAUAACUUCAGGAAACUGGGGCUAAUACUGGAUAGGAGCUCCUGCUGCAUGGUGGGGGUUGGAAAGUUUCGGCGGUUGGGGAUGGACUCGCGGCUUAUCAGCUUGUUGGUGGGGUAGUGGCUUACCAAGGCUUUGACGGGUAGCCGGCCUGAGAGGGUGACCGGCCACAUUGGAACUGAGAUACGGCCCAGACUCCUAGGGGAGGCAGCAGUGGGGAAUAUUGCACAAUGGGCGGAAGCCUGAUGCAGCAACGCCGCGUGCGGGAUGACGGCCUUCGGGUUGUAAACCGCUUUCGCCUGUGACGAAGCGUGAGUGACGGUAAUGGGUAAAGAAGCACCGGCUAACUACGUG